This 73-nucleotide transfer RNA is filed under the name Beta vulgaris subsp. vulgaris (sugar beet). Its description in RNAcentral is "tRNA tRNA-Thr". It matches the Rfam family "tRNA". From Rfam's summary of the family: Transfer RNA (tRNA) molecules are approximately 80 nucleotides in length. Lineage: Eukaryota; Viridiplantae; Streptophyta; Magnoliopsida; Caryophyllales; Amaranthaceae. The record is from Rfam by way of RNAcentral.
GCCCAGAUAGCUCAGUUGGUAGAGCACGCCCUUGGUAAGGGCGAGGUCGACAGUUCGAAUCUGUUUCUGGGCU